GUACACUCCUGCGGGAGGCAGCAGUGGGGAAUUUUGGACAAUGGGCGAAAGCCUGAUCCAGCAAUGCCGCGUGAGUGAAGAAGGCCUUCGGGUUGUAAAGCUCUUUUGUCAGGGAAGAAACGGUGAAGCUAAUAUCUUUUGCUAAUGACGGUACCUGAAGAAUAAGCACCGGCUAACUACGUGCCAGCAGCCGCGGUAAUACGUAGGGUGCAAGCGUUAAUCGGAAUUACUGGGCGUAAAGCGUGCGCAGGCGGUUUUGUAAGUCUGAUGUGAAAUCCCCGGGCUCAACCUGGGAAUUGCAUUGGAGACUGCAAGGCUAGAAUCUGGCAGAGGGGGGUAGAAUUCCACGUGUAGUAGUGAAAUGCGUAGAUAUGUGGAGGAACACCGAUGGCGAAGGCAGCCCCCUGGGUCAAGAUUGACGCUCAUGCACGAAAGCGUGGGGAGCAAACAGGAUUAGAUACCCUAGUAGUCCCAUA
This 476-nucleotide ribosomal RNA is filed under the name uncultured organism. RNAcentral describes it as "partial 16S ribosomal RNA". It matches the Rfam family "Bacterial small subunit ribosomal RNA", at positions 331 to 799 of the family's 1533-position model. The record is from RNAcentral.